Molecule: long non-coding RNA, 2687 nt
Organism: Phasianus colchicus (ring-necked pheasant)
Lineage: Eukaryota; Metazoa; Chordata; Aves; Galliformes; Phasianidae
Source: Ensembl
GGGGCGCGGCGGCGGGGCCGGAGGAGCGCAGGGGCGUGGAGGCUGAGCGGCCCCUCUCACCUUUAGAGGUGGUUCCUCCGGCUCAGCGCUCAGGCAAAGGGUGGAGGUGCCGCCGCCGCCGCCGCCUCCGCCGCCGCCGCCCGCGCCGUAGCGGCUCUGUGGAUUUAAAUACAGCACUUCAGUUCGACGGGGCCGCCGCUCCGCCGUGCCGCCGCCGCCGCCGCCGCCGCCGCCUCGCACCAACGCCGUCCGUGGGCGCGGCGCCGCCCGACCCGCAACGCUCCCCGUGGGGCCGCAGCGCGGAACCGCCGGCACCGCAGCACCGCCAGCACCGCAGCACCGCCAGCACCGCAUCGCCAGCACCGCAUCAGUGCAGCACCGCCAGCACCGCAUCGCCACCAGCAGCACCAGCACCGCAGCACCGCAUCACCAGCAUCGCCAGCACCACAGCACCACCAGCACCGCAGCACCGCCAGCACCGCAGCACCACCAGCAGCACCAGCAGCACCAGCACCGCAGCACCGCAUCACCAGCAUCGCCAGCACCGCCAGCACCACAGCACCGCUAGCAGCAAAGGCACCGCAGCACCGCCAGCACCGCAUCAGUGCAGCCCCACCAGCACCACCAGCACCACCAGCACUGCAUCACCAGCACCGCCAACACCGCAGCACCACCAGCACCGCAGCACCACCAGCAUGGCAUCACCAGCACCGCCAGCACCGCAUCAGUGUGCAUCAGUGCAGCACCAGAGCACCACCAGCACCACCAGCACUGCAGCACCACCAGCACCGCAUCACCAGCACCGCAGCACCGCCAGCACCGCAUCAGUGCAGCCCCACCAGCACCACCAGCACUGCAUCACCAGUGCCGCCAACACCGCAGCACCGCCAGCACCACCAGCAGCACCAGCACCGCAGCACCGCAUCACCAGCAUCGCCAGCACCGCAGCACCACCAGCAGCACCAGCACCGCAGCACCACCAGCACCGCAGCACCAGCAUCGUCAGCACUGCCAGCACUGCCACCACCGCAUCACCAGCACCGCCAGCACCGCAUCAGUGUGCAUCAGUGCAGCACCAGAGCACCACCAGCAGCACCAGAACCGCAGCACCGCAUCACCAGCAUCGCCAGCACCAGAGCACCACCAGCACCACAUCAGUGCAGCCCCACCAGCACUGCAGCACCACCAGCAGCACCAGCACCGCAUCAGUGCAGCAGCACCACCACCGCAUCACCAGCACUGCCAGUACCGCAUCAGUGUGCAUCAGUGCAGCACCACAGCACCACCAGCACCACCAGCACCGCAGCACCACCAGCACCGCAUCGCCAGCACCGCAGCACCGCCAGCACCGCAUCAGUGCAGCCCCACCAGCACCACAGCACCACCAGCACUGCAUCACCAGCACCGCCAACACCGCAGCACCGCCAGCACCACCAGCAGCACCAGCACCGCAGCACCGCAUCACCAGCAUCGCCAGCACCGCCAGCACCACAGCACCGCCAGCAGCACAGGCACCGCAGCACCGCCAGCACCGCAUCAGUGCAGCCCCACCAGCCCCACCAGCACCACCAGCACUGCAUCACCAGCACCACCAACACCACAGCACCGCCAGCAGCACCGCCAGCACCGCAUCAGUGUGCAUCAGUGCAGCACCACAGCACCACCAGCACCACCAGCACUGCAUCACCAGCACCGCCAGCACUGCAGCACCGCCAGCACCACCAGCACUGCAUCACCAGCGCCGCCAACACCGCAGCACCGCCAGCACCACCAGCAGCACCAGCACCGCAGCACCGCAUCACAAGCAACACCAGCACCGCAGCACCACCAGCAUCGCCAGCACCACCAGCACCGCAUCACCAGCACCGCCAGCACCGCAGCACCACCAGCAUCGCCAGCACCGCCAGCACCACAGCACCACCAGCAGCACAGGCACCGCAGCACCGCCAGCACCGCAUCAGUGCAGCCCCACCAGCACCACCAGCACUGCAUCACCAGCACCACCAACACCGCAGCACCGCCAGCACCACCAGCAGCACCGCAUCAGUGUGCAUCAGUGCAGCACCACAGCACCACCAGCACUGCAUCACCAGUACCACCAGCACUGCAGCACCGCAGCACCGCAUGACUGCCAUCCCUGCAUCGCCACCAUCAGUGCAGCACCGCAGCAACGCCAACAGUGCCAUCCCUGUAUCACCACCAUCAGUGCCAUCCCUGCAGCACCGCCAUCAGUGCAGGACCACCAUCACCAUCAUCAGUGCCAUCCCUGCAUCACUGCCAUCAGUGCAGCACCACCAUCACCACCAUCAGUGCAGCACCAAAGCAUCGCAGCACCGCCAACACUGCCAUCCAUGCAUCACCACCAUCAGUGCAGCACCGCAGCACCACAGCACUGCCAUCAGUGCAGGACCACCAUCACCACCAUCAGUGCAGCACCGCAGCACCACCAUCAGUGCAGCACCGACAUCAGUGCCAUCCCUGCAUCACCACCAUCAGCGUCAUCAGUGCAGCACUGCAUCACUGCCAUCAGUGCAGCACCACCAUCAUCGCCAUCAGUGCAGCACCACCAUCAGUGCAGCACCACCAUCAGUGCAGCACCGCAGCAUCACAGCACCGCCAUCAGUGCCACCCCUGCAUCACCACCAUCAGUACAGCACCACCAUCAGUGCAGGACCACCAUCAGUGCA